RNAcentral lists this ribosomal RNA (497 nucleotides) under uncultured bacterium. RNAcentral's name for it is "partial 16S ribosomal RNA". It matches the Rfam family "Bacterial small subunit ribosomal RNA", at positions 28 to 507 of the family's 1533-position model. The record is from RNAcentral.
GAUGAACGCUGGCGGCGUGCCUAAUACAUGCAUGUCGAGCGAACAGACGAGGAGCUUGCUCCUUCGACGUUAGCGGCGGACGGGUGAGUAACACGUAGGUAACCUACCUAUAAGACUGGGAUAACUUCGGGAAACCGGAGCUAAUACCGGAUAAUAUUUCGAACCGCAUGGUUCGAUAGUGAAAGAUGGCUUUGCUAUCACUUAUAGAUGGACCUGCGCCGUAUUAGCUAGUUGGUAAGGUAACGGCUUACCAAGGCAACGAUACGUAGCCGACCUGAGAGGGUGAUCGGCCACACUGGAACUGAGACACGGUCCAGACUCCUACGGGAGGCAGCAGUAGGGAAUCUUCCGCAAUGGGCGAAAGCCUGACGGAGCAACGCCGCGUGAGUGAUGAAGGUCUUCGGAUCGUAAAACUCUGUUAUUAGGGAAGAACAAACGUGUAAGUAACUGUGCACGUCUUGACGGUACCUAAUCAGAAAGCCACGGCUAACUACGUG